Molecule: ribosomal RNA, 549 nt
Filed under: Rhadinorhynchus sp. ENJ-2013
Lineage: Eukaryota; Metazoa; Acanthocephala; Palaeacanthocephala; Echinorhynchida; Rhadinorhynchidae
Description: SSU rRNA
Rfam family: Eukaryotic small subunit ribosomal RNA
Source: RNAcentral
CGUAACCGCGAACGGCUCUGUAAAACAGUCAUGAUUUAUGAGGGCGCAUGACAGUUGGAUAACUGUGGAAAACCUAGAGCUAAUACAUGUAAAAAUGUCCUGCCUUUAUCGAAGGGACGCAUUCAUCAAAUGAAAGCCAUCCUCGCUUCGGCGAGAAACGAGAUGAAUCUGGGUGAACUAUCGAUUGUACGGCUCUUUGAGCUGACGACUAUAAUUGUAAGCGUCUGACCUAUCAACUUUUGAUGGUGGUAUAUCUUACUGCCAUGGUUGUAACGGGUAACGGGGAAUCAGGGUUCGAUUCCGGAGAGAGAGCCUGAGAAACGGCUGUCACAUCUACGGAAGGCAGCAGGCGCGCAAAUUACCCAAUCCCCGAUCGGGGAGGUAGUGACGAGAAAUGACAGUGCCGUAAUCAGAUGAUUCGGCUACUGAAUUGAGAACGAUGAAAGAAUGUUAUCGAAUAUCUAUUGGAGGGCAAGUCUGGUGCCAGCAGCCGCGGUAAUUCCAGCUCGAAGAGCGUCUGUUAAUGUUGCUGCGCUUGAAACGCUCGUC